CAGCUGCGAGAUUUGGUGUGAAUUGCAGGACACAUUGAGCACUGAUUUUUCGAACGCACAUUGCGGCCUCGGAUCCUGCCCGGGGCCUCGCCUGUCUGAGGGUCGGAUAAGACUUGCAAAGGAAAAUUUAUUUUUUCCAAUUGGCCGUGUCGGAGUUCUGUUAAGGAUUUCGUCGGCUCAAGUACUUAUAGGAUCCUCCCCGGUCGAGAGAGCACAAGCCCUAGAGCAUGCUCGUCGCUCGGAGAAGACGGAUAACGUUUCUCCACGAAGACGAGACGGUUUGUUGUUGAGAAGACCACUUAUAGGGGAUGAGAACCUACUUGGACAUUUUUAGUCCGAUUUGAAUUAUUUUUGACGACCUCAGAUCAGACGAGAUGACCCGCUGAAUUUAA
This 392-nucleotide unclassified non-coding RNA is filed under the name uncultured fungus. RNAcentral's name for it is "sequence contains ITS1". The stretch from base 1 to 105 matches the Rfam family "5.8S ribosomal RNA", at positions 50 to 154 of the family's 154-position model. The record is from RNAcentral. Lineage: Eukaryota; Fungi.